This 406-nucleotide ribosomal RNA is filed under the name uncultured bacterium. Its description in RNAcentral is "partial 16S ribosomal RNA". It matches the Rfam family "Bacterial small subunit ribosomal RNA", at positions 30 to 526 of the family's 1533-position model. The record is from RNAcentral.
AUUGAACGCUGGCGGCAGGCCUAACACAUGCAAGUCGAACGAGUGGCGGACGGGUGAGUAAUGUCUGGGAAACUGCCUGAUGUAGGGGGAUAACUACUGGAAACGGUAGCUAAUACCGCAUACCAUCGGAUGUGCCCAGAUGGGAUUAGCUAGGAGGUGGGGUAACGGCCCGCCUACGCGACGAUCCCUAGCUGGUCGGAGAGGAUGGCAAGCCACACUGGAACUGAGACACGGUCCAGACUCCUAUGGUAGGCAGGAGUGGAGAAUAUUGCACAAUGGGAGCAAGCCUGAUGUAGCCAUGCCGCGUGUAUGAAGAAGGCCUUCGGCUUGUAAAGUACUUUCAGCGGGAAAGCGUUACCCUAAGAAGAAGCACCGGCUAACUCCGUGCCAGCAGCCGCGGUAAUAC